RNAcentral lists this ribosomal RNA (377 nucleotides) under uncultured bacterium. RNAcentral's name for it is "bacterial SSU rRNA". It matches the Rfam family "Bacterial small subunit ribosomal RNA", at positions 29 to 432 of the family's 1533-position model. The record is from RNAcentral.
AACGAACGCUGGCAGCAGGCUUAACACAUGCAAGUCGAACGGGCACCUUCGGGUGUCAGUGGCAGACGGGUGAGUAACGCGUGGGAACGUACCCUUCGGUUCGGAAUAACCCAGGGAAACUUGGGCUAACACCGGAUACGUCCGCAAGGAGAAAGAUUAUCGCCGAAGGAUCGGCCCGCGUCGGAUUAGCUAGUUGGUGGGGUAAUGGCCCACCAAGGCGACGAUCCGUAGCUGGUCUGAGAGGAUGAUCAGCCACACUGGGACUGAGACACGGCCCAGACUCCUACGGGAGGCAGCAGUGGGGAAUAUUGGACAAUGGGCGAAAGCCUGAUCCAGCCAUGCCGCGUGAGUGAAGAAGGCCUUAGGGUUGUAAAGCU